UAGAUACCCUGGUAGUCCAUGCCGUAAACGUUGGGCACUAGGUGUGGGGGACAUUCCACGUUUUCCGCGCCGUAGCUAACGCAUUAAGUGCCCCGCCUGGGGAGUACGGCCGCAAGGCUAAAACUCAAAGGAAUUGACGGGGGCCCGCACAAGCGGCGGAGCAUGCGGAUUAAUUCGAUGCAACGCGAAGAACCUUACCAAGGCUUGACAUGCAUUAGAUCGCGUCAGAGAUGGCGUUUCCCUUCGGGGC
Molecule: ribosomal RNA, 250 nt
Filed under: uncultured bacterium
Lineage: Bacteria
Description: partial 16S ribosomal RNA
Rfam family: Bacterial small subunit ribosomal RNA
Source: RNAcentral